Molecule: ribosomal RNA, 491 nt
Filed under: uncultured bacterium
Lineage: Bacteria
Description: partial 16S ribosomal RNA
Rfam family: Bacterial small subunit ribosomal RNA
Source: RNAcentral
AGUGAACGCUGGCGGUAGGCCUAACACAUGCAAGUCGAACGGCAGCACAGUAAGAGCUUGCUCUUACGGGUGGCGAGUGGCGGACGGGUGAGGAAUACAUCGGAAUCUACUUUUUCGUGGGGGAUAACGUAGGGAAACUUACGCUAAUACCGCAUACGACCUACGGGUGAAAGCAGGGGAUCUUCGGACCUUGCGCGAUUGAAUGAGCCGAUGUCGGAUUAGCUAGUUGGCGGGGUAAAGGCCCACCAAGGCGACGAUCCGUAGCUGGUCUGAGAGGAUGAUCAGCCACACUGGAACUGAGACACGGUCAAGACUCCGACGGGAGGCAGCAGUGGGGAAUAUUGGACAAUGGGCGCAAGCCUGAUCCAGCCAUACCGCGUGGGUGAAGAAGGCCUUCGGGUGGUAAAGCCCUUUUGUUGGGAAAGAAAAGCAGCAGGUUAAUACCCCGCUGUUCUGACGGUACCCAAAGAAUAAGCACCGGCUAACUUCGU